AGCACGGAUCUCUCGGCCGCAAAAAUAACAGCUGAUGAUGAUGCUGAUUCUUGGAUCUCACCGAGAGCCUGGUUUGGACCUUGAGAGCAACUAUAAUGAAACGAUCAAGAUACAGCGUCAAGGAGAAUGGCAACCACAGCACUUUCACAACAACAGAAGGGAGUUUUUCCUUGCCACCGCGCUCAUUGGAAAGUGAUCUGCAGUUUAAAAACUGCCCAUUUUUGUUGAGCUGGUCAUGGCUGGCUGUGUUAAUUUUUUCUAUUCACUCAGCUCAGUAUCUCUGCGUAGACUGUGUAAUGUCAUACAAAAAGAUAAUAAUAAUAAGAAAAAGAUGAAACAACAAUAUUACUUUUAUUAAAGAGUUGUACGUCCUGAGUCAGAAUAUAUUGAUAAAGUUCCAGCGCAAAACUGUAUUACCCAGCAACACUAGCUUUAGUGCAGUCAAACCUCUGAAAUCCACUGAUUCUUCUAUUCGCCUAGUAUAUAACAUGCUGUCAGUGGCUGAUUUUCAUAAUGCUUCUUUAAUUUAACACGUUAUUAGACAUAUCUGUAUAUGUUUAACAAAAUAUUUAAAAUACUGAUAACAUUUACAAUAAAUAUACAUCAAUUAACCAUGCUUACAACAGUUACAAACAUUGUAAAAUAGUGUAUGAA
This is a long non-coding RNA of Astyanax mexicanus (Mexican tetra), 654 nucleotides long. RefSeq lists it as uncharacterized. NCBI's taxonomy places the organism in Eukaryota, Metazoa, Chordata, Actinopteri, Characiformes, Acestrorhamphidae. The transcript has 3 exons. The record is from RefSeq and is a predicted model, not a curated record.